Non-coding RNA from Lonchura striata (white-rumped munia), 418 nucleotides. The record is from RefSeq and is a predicted model, not a curated record. NCBI's taxonomy places the organism in Eukaryota, Metazoa, Chordata, Aves, Passeriformes, Estrildidae.
GCAAAGGCAAUGUGAAGAUGGCCAUCACAAUUGCUUUGCAAUGGAUUCUGGCAACUUCCCCAAGCAUCUUUGUUCUCCCAUGACUGCACAGCUUAAGCAACCCAAUCUGGUCUUGGCAAACCACCAAACCUAAAAAAAGAACCAAAAAAAGUCUCCCAUAUUUGGUUUACUCCAACUUUCUCACAGUGAUGUAAGUUUUCAUGCUGUCUGAAGCCAUACAAAGGCAGAAGUGAAUUGGAAGCUGCUUUGACCUCAGGAGCCUGGUGGUAUAAUUUGAACAUCAACUGGAGCCUGGAACCUGUCCUCAAACUGAUUAGUAACUUACUUGAAAGCUUGUUGCCAUAAUUUGAGAGGACUAUUCCUGUAAACCAGGGCUAUUGCUUGACCCUAAGAUGUAUUUAAUUUACACUGCAAAAUG